Molecule: ribosomal RNA, 254 nt
Filed under: uncultured bacterium
Lineage: Bacteria
Description: partial 16S ribosomal RNA
Rfam family: Bacterial small subunit ribosomal RNA
Source: RNAcentral
GACGUAGGGCGCGAGCGUUGUCCGGAUUUAUUGGGCGUAAAGAGCUCGUAGGCGGCUUGUCGCGUCGACUGUGAAAACCUGCAGCUUAACUGUGGGCUUGCGGUCGAUACGGGCAUCACUGGAGUUCGGCAGGGGAGACUGGAAUUCCUGGUGUAGCGGUGAAAUGCGCAGAUAUCAGGAGGAACACCGGUGGCGAAGGCGGGUCUCUGGGCCGAUACUGACGCUGAGGAGCGAAAGCGUGGGGAGCGAACAGG